CCCAUUUAUAGUUUAUGAUGAAAAUCCUGACGAUGAAGCUGAAGAUGAAAGUGGACCGAGCACAAGCAAAAAACGAAGGAUGAAUGAAAGCCAGGAUCCAGAAUUAUGUGACUGAGGGAAGCCCGCACUUUUGGAUCUUCAUGUAUCUAUGCUGCCAAUACUCUGAAUGCUACUAAUCCUCCCAGUCAUUUUGUUGAUCGUGAUUGUAAUUUUUCAAUCAACUACUCACAAUAUUAAUAAAUUCAGUUAAGGCCUGUAAUAA
This is a long non-coding RNA of Diachasma alloeum, 262 nucleotides long. RefSeq lists it as uncharacterized. The record is from RefSeq and is a predicted model, not a curated record. Lineage: Eukaryota; Metazoa; Arthropoda; Insecta; Hymenoptera; Braconidae. The transcript has 2 exons.